This 1303-nucleotide long non-coding RNA is filed under the name Lonchura striata (white-rumped munia). Its description in RNAcentral is "domestica (Bengalese finch) lncRNA (ENSLSDG00000002757.1)". Lineage: Eukaryota; Metazoa; Chordata; Aves; Passeriformes; Estrildidae. The record is from RNAcentral.
AGGGGCGGCGCCGAGCGGGCCUGUUCCGCGGCGCCAUGGAGACGGGCCCGCCGCCCGGCCCGGCCGACCCCAGCCGUGGCUCCAGAGGCGGGAGCGGCCUGCUGCCGGGACCGGGGCGAUGUGGAGGUCUAAACAACAACUGGCUCUAGCAGCUGAGCAAGAAUGGAUUCUGAAACAGAGUAAUAUGCAAACAGAACUUAACUGGCAGCAGCUCUGUGAGAAUGGUGAAUGUAAUUGGUAUCAGAAAUCAGAGGAUCCAGCAUGCAGCCUAUGUUCAUCAAGAGAGGAGAUAUUUCAGUAUGAUGAUGAAAAUUCUUUGUGUAAAUAUAACCCUGCUUUGGAAAUAAAAAAGCUGCAGGAACAGAAUGCCAGCCUUCAGGCUGCUAUUGCACAAAUGAGGAAAGAAAUGGAGAGUCUUAAUGAGCAGAUGUUGUCUUCUGUUCCUCAAACAGAAGACAGACAGCUUGCAGAGCAAGGUUCAUUGAGCACAAACAAAAUUUCAACUGGAACCACACUAAGCAACAUCAAAAUCCGUUCAACUAUGCUGGAUUGUAUAGUAAACCAAGACAGAGAAGAGGGGCCAGAACCCAAAGUUCUUGAAGAAAACAUGGUAAAUUUUGGACAACAGCUACCUGAUGUAGGCACUGGUAUUUGUUGUCAAUAUAAUGUCAAACACACUCUACAAGGAAUGCAAAAUAAACUCAAGGAAGCAGCAAGAAAAAUUUCAAUUCUGAGCCAAGAGAAGCGUCAGCUGAUUGAAAUGGGAAACAGGCUCAGGGCAGAACUUGGAAUGGUGUUAAAGGAAGGAGUCUGGCUUCCUGUUAGCUCUAAACACUGCACAGUUUGUAUUGCCUCUGGUAGUCUUCUUCCAAGAGAACUUGUCAAAAGAACACAGUGUCAGCUAUCAGUUCUAAAGCAUCUACAGCACAGACUCACAACACAGGAGCUGCAGUGCACAAGGCAACAGCAUCCUUCAAGGCUGUCUUCUCUUACUGCCUGCCCUAGCUUGAAGGAAGAAGAAGCUCCAAGCAGCUGUGGAGAAGAAACAGAAUUACCAUCCAGUGAGGUUUGGAUAGAUUACUCUAUUGAAAAUCAUGGGCCAGAUACAUUCUCAGCAACAAAGGCAAAUACAUCCACAAAGAUUGUUCAAACUCAGCUGCUCAGUCAGAGUUCUAAUCACAUCCAGCAGGUUCAGCCUUCUUCAUCUAGAACGCAUAAUUUCUGUCAAAUUUUAGAUACGGGAUCAAGCCUUUUUCUACUCAGUCCUCAAAAGAACACCAGCCAGGGUAAGCCUGUUUUGUAA